CGGAAUACCACCAGCUGCCAGGGAGAACGAGCUUGGAGCUAGCGGCAGGGCUUAACCCGGCGAAGCUCUGAGAUGGGUUGCUGAAGGAUUCCGGGAGGCAGCUGCAACAGGGCAUCACUCACUGUCCAGGCAUAUCCGUUUCUGAGUGCAAAAGGAAGAACUUGAGCGAGCGGCAAUUGGAGUGAAAAUUGCUUUGUAGUAUCUAAAAGCAGCAUGGAUCGUGGGCAGCUGAGCUGCAACAAAUCAACAGAAAUUCAUGUGAAAAUCAUUGACCACCAUAUGCUGCUCCAGCUUCCUUCAGCUCCUAAUUCUAGGAGCUUGACAACUAAAGCAAACCACAGACAGCCACAGGCACUCACUGCCAGCCCUGACAAAAAAAAUCACAAAAGUCGCCUCACAGGGUGGCAGCCAGCAACUCCUGUGGAAGGUCCAGCAGACCAGGCUAUCCAUACAGCUGUGGUCCCUCAACUCCCUCCCAGCAGCCCAGACUUGAAGCUGCUCAAGGAGCAAAGAGUACCUCUGACGCCAUACUUGCAGGUGAUUUUAAACUGCUGCUACUGCUACUGCUAAGUCACUUCAGUCGUGUCCAACUCUGUGUGACCCCAUAGAUGGCAGCCCACCAGGCUCCCCUGUCCCUGGGAUUCUCCAGGCAAGAACACUGGAGUGGGUUGCCAUUUCCUUCUCCAAUGAUUUUAAACUAGAUAGUUAAAAACUGACUUGUUUGAUUCUGACCUGUAUAUAAUUUUUG
RNAcentral lists this long non-coding RNA (748 nucleotides) under Bos indicus x Bos taurus (hybrid cattle). RNAcentral's name for it is "lncRNA (ENSBIXG00000025049.1)". Lineage: Eukaryota; Metazoa; Chordata; Mammalia; Artiodactyla; Bovidae. The record is from RNAcentral.